Molecule: ribosomal RNA, 1400 nt
Filed under: Leuconostoc mesenteroides
Lineage: Bacteria; Bacillati; Bacillota; Bacilli; Lactobacillales; Lactobacillaceae
Description: partial 16S ribosomal RNA
Rfam family: Bacterial small subunit ribosomal RNA
Source: RNAcentral
GAUACACAGGUGCCAACUCCCCCCAGGGGUGGGAAACAUUUGGGACCGGGUUUUUAUCGGAAAUAAAUUUUGGUCCCCAAACAAAAAUUAAAAGGGCUUUGGGCUUCACAAGAAGAGGUUCCCGCGCCCAUUAUUUAGUGGGGGGGAAAAGGCUCCACAAGACAAAUGGUGCAAGCCGGGUUGGAGGAUUGUUCGCCACCUUGGGGAUGGGACCCGGCCCAAAUUCCUUCGGGGGAGCUCCAGUAGGGAUCUUCCACAAUGGGCCGAAACCUGAUGGAGCAACGCCGCGUGUGUGAUGAAGCUUUCGGGUCGUAAAGCACUGUUGUAUGGGAAGAACAGCUAGAAUAGGAAAUGAUUUUAGUUUGACGGUACCAUACCAGAAAGGGACGGCUAAAUACGUGCCAGCAGCCGCGGUAAUACGUAUGUCCCGAGCGUUAUCCGGAUUUAUUGGGCGUAAAGCGAGCGCAGACGGUUUAUUAAGUCUGAUGUGAAAGCCCGGAGCUCAACUCCGGGAAUGGCAUUGGAAACUGGUUAACUUGAGUGCAGUAGAGGUAAGUGGAACUCCAUGUGUAGCGGUGGAAUGCGUAGAUAUAUGGAAGAACACCAGUGGCGAAGGCGGCUUACUGGACUGCAACUGACGUUGAGGCUCGAAAGUGUGGGUAGCAAACAGGAUUAGAUACCCUGGUAGUCCACACCGUAAACGAUGAACACUAGGUGUUAGGAGGUUUCCGCCUCUUAGUGCCGAAGCUAACGCAUUAAGUGUUCCGCCUGGGGAGUACGACCGCAAGGUUGAAACUCAAAGGAAUUGACGGGGACCCGCACAAGCGGUGGAGCAUGUGGUUUAAUUCGAAGCAACGCGAAGAACCUUACCAGGUCUUGACAUCCUUUGAAGCUUUUAGAGAUAGAAGUGUUCUCUUCGGAGACAAAGUGACAGGUGGUGCAUGGUCGUCGUCAGCUCGUGUCGUGAGAUGUUGGGUUAAGUCCCGCAACGAGCGCAACCCUUAUUGUUAGUUGCCAGCAUUCAGAUGGGCACUCUAGCGAGACUGCCGGUGACAAACCGGAGGAAGGCGGGGACGACGUCAGAUCAUCAUGCCCCUUAUGACCUGGGCUACACACGUGCUACAAUGGCGUAUACAACGAGUUGCCAACCCGCGAGGGUGAGCUAAUCUCUUAAAGUACGUCUCAGUUCGGAUUGUAGUCUGCAACUCGACUACAUGAAGUCGGAAUCGCUAGUAAUCGCGGAUCAGCACGCCGCGGUGAAUACGUUCCCGGGUCUUGUACACACCGCCCGUCACACCAUGGGAGUUUGUAAUGCCCAAAGCCGGUGGCCUAACCUUUUAGGAAGGAGCCGUCUAAGGCAGGACAGAUGACUGGGGGAAGUCUAACAUGGAGUCAGGUCC